ACCCUGGUAGUUCAUGCCGUAAACGAUGUCGAUUAGCCGUUGGCGUCGUAGUGACCUUUGUGGUGCAGUUAACGCGAUAAGUCGACCGCGUGGGGAGUACCGCCGCAAGGUUAAAACUCAAAUGAAUUGACGGGGGCCCGCACAAGCGGUGGAGCAUGUGGUUUAAUUCGAUGCAACGCGAAGAACCUUACCUACUCUUGACAUCGUGCGAACUUGGUAGAGAUACCUUGGUGCUUUCGGGAACGCACAGACAGGUGCUGCAUGGCCGUCGUCAGCUCGUGUUGUGAAAUGUUGGGUUAAGUCCCGUAACGAGCGCAACCCCUAUCCCUAUUUGCCAGCGAUUCGGUCGGGAACUCUAGGGAGACUGCCGGUGACAAACCGGAGGAAGGUGGGGAUGACGUCAGGUCAUCAUGGCCCUUACGAGUAGGGCUACACACGUGCUACAAUGGCCGGUACAAAGGGUUGCGAAGCCGCGAGGUGGUGCUAAUCCCGAAAAGCCGGUCUCAGUCCGGAUCGGAGUCUGCAACUCGACUCCGUGAAGUCGGAAUCGCUAGUAAUCGUGAAUCAGAAUGUCACGGUGAAUACGUUCCCGGGCCUUGUACACACCGCCCGUCACACCAUGGGAGUGGACUGCACCAGAAGUGGUUAGCUUAACCUUCGGGAGAGC
Molecule: ribosomal RNA, 667 nt
Filed under: Halomonas sp.
Lineage: Bacteria; Pseudomonadati; Pseudomonadota; Gammaproteobacteria; Oceanospirillales; Halomonadaceae
Description: bacterial SSU rRNA
Rfam family: Bacterial small subunit ribosomal RNA
Source: RNAcentral